RNAcentral lists this unclassified non-coding RNA (281 nucleotides) under plant metagenome. RNAcentral describes it as "partial contains small subunit ribosomal RNA, internal transcribed spacer 1, and 5.8S ribosomal RNA". The record is from RNAcentral.
UUUCCGUUGGUGAACCUGCGGAAGGAUCAUUGUCGAACCCUGCCCAGCAGAACGACCCGCGAACUUGUAUAAACAACCGGGGGCAGGGGCGAUCUCGCCCCGUGCCCUCGAACGGCAGGGAGACACUCGUGCCUUCUUGUCGAACAACGCACCCCGCCGCGGUCUGCGCCAAGGAACUUCAAUUAAAGAGUGCCUCCGGUCGCCUCGGAAACGAUGCGCGUGUCGGAGGCGAAUCUUGUACAAAACCAUAACGACUCUCGGCAACGGAUAUCUCGGCUCUC